RNAcentral lists this unclassified non-coding RNA (331 nucleotides) under soil metagenome. RNAcentral describes it as "partial contains 5.8S ribosomal RNA, internal transcribed spacer 2, and large subunit ribosomal RNA". The stretch from base 1 to 120 matches the Rfam family "5.8S ribosomal RNA", at positions 35 to 154 of the family's 154-position model. The record is from RNAcentral.
GAUGAAGAACGUAGCGAAAUGCGAUAAGUAAUGUGAAUUGCAGAAUUCAGUGAAUCAUCGAAUCUUUGAACGCACAUUGCGCCCCCUGGUAUUCCGGGGGGCAUGCCUGUUCGAGCGUCAUUUCACCACUCAAGCCUCGCUUGGUAUUGGGCAACGCGGUCCGCCGCGUGCCUCAAAUCGACCGGCUGGGUCUUCUGUCCCCUAAGCGUUGUGGAAACUAUUCGCUAAAGGGUGUUCGGGAGGCUACGCCGUAAAACAACCCCAUUUCUAAGGUUGACCUCGGAUCAGGAAGGGAUACCCGCUGAACUUAAGCAUAUCAAUAAGCGGAGGA